Molecule: long non-coding RNA, 2661 nt
Filed under: Taeniopygia guttata (zebra finch)
Lineage: Eukaryota; Metazoa; Chordata; Aves; Passeriformes; Estrildidae
Description: lncRNA (ENSTGUG00000024480.1)
Source: RNAcentral
UUUUUUUUUUUGUUGGUUUUUUUUUUAAACUUUCAGAACACUUAUCUUUUCUUAAAAUCAGUUCAAUCAAGUUUUUUACCAAUUGUCUUUGGGCAAUAUAAACAUCUACUUUUACUUUUUCAGUUUAAAUUAAUGUUUGGAAUCUUCUGACCCUUUCAUUGCCUGUACUCCCUCUGGGAAUCAUAUACAUUAUUGAAAAAUAUUCACUCUGCUGGGGAUCAGGCCAGUUGCUCCAAAAGCCAUGUAGGCAUGUUACCAUACUCAUAUUUGAUAGCAAUAAAUUGCUGUCUUUUCAUAAACUUUUCUAAAAGCCAUGCUCUUUAAAGUAAUCUUUUUUUUUGUAAUUUUGCAUGACCCUGUCUUAUUAUAGAUAACAGAUCUAAAUAAUCCUUACAGGAAGAAUUUAUAUAUAUCUCAUUAGACUACUCUGAUUUGAAAGCUCCUUCUGCUACUUCAACCCUAAUUUUGAUAAAUGACUUCAAGUCUGUGGCCUGAAUUGUCCACCAAGCCCAAGAAAGAAAGUCUAUUGUACAUAUAUUACUUCAAGGCUCCUGUAGGGAUCAAGGCAUGCCAGCUGGUGUUGCUGAUCUUAACUCAUUCCAUAAGACCUAAAGAAAAGCCUGUCUCCCUUGGAAUGACAACCAUAAGCCUAAAUAAAUGGUAUUUAUGCCUCCACCUCUCCUUGCAGCUCCCAUUAAUAAGACAAGCCCUAAUGUUCUACUAGAUUAUUUAUUGGCUUAAAUUGAAUUUAAAUUUUUCCUUUGGCAUUUGCCAAAUCAGAUCUUCACGAUUACAUUCCUGUCAGCCAAUAUCUUUCCUUAGCUGUAACUAUACAUCAAAGUUUACUUGAAUAUUUGAAUUCAAGAUACCAGCCUCCAGGGUUCAGUAAAUACAUGAGAAAUUAAAAACUGUAUGUGGAAAAAUUUCUCAAAAAAUCAGACUCUUCAUAGGUUCAAAAUUAAUCUGUAUUAGAAAGAAAUAGCAAACAAAAGACAUAAUAUAAAUAUGUGCAAUUAAUUUACUAUGAAAAAAAAAGACUUCUCCAAUUUUAAUUGUAACACAUUAAGAAGAAAAUACUUUCUGUCAGAAUUAUCAGGAGCAUAUUCCUCACUGGAUUUAAUAUCAGCUGUAAUAUGCUUAAUUUUCCAUUUUUCUGAAGCGAUAAGAAAAUAUUACUAAUAUUUCUUAUAAUACUGUAAUAAAAGUAACAUGAGAGGGUGUUUUUUCCCUUGGAAAAGUUGUAACUGCUUUAACUGCUCCAGGGACAAAUAAUUUUUAAAAAAACAUUACUUCUAUUUCCUUAUCACAAGUUAUUUGUUGCUGUAACUGCAAAUCUUCUGUAUAUGUAUUUUCCACAGCCUCUCUGCAAAAGAGGAUUUAUGAAUGUGCUCAGUAUCAUAGCAGCUCAGAGCUAUUGAGGCCAUUCCUGACACCCAGUGCAGUGCUGCAGGAGCACCAUUCCAAGAUAAAGCCAAGUGAAAGAGGAGCCAGGGGAGUUAUGUAACUAGGAAUACAGUGCAAGCAAGACCAAAGGACAAUGCUGUGUCCUCAAAAGACCUAGGGACUCAAAUGACACAUUAAUGAACAGAAAGAAAAUAAUGAAAUCAAGAAUAAGAACAGAGCAGAAAAAAAACCUCAAUGUACACAGAUAGAGAAAGUGAAGGUGUGUAAGAAAGAAAGAAAAGAAGCUCAGAUCUAACUCCCAUCUAGGAAUAAAAGGUAGAAGAUAGAUGGAUGUAGAAGGAAGGGGAAAUAAUAAAGAAAAUUAAUAACAAUGCAGUUGUGCAGAAAUGUCUCCUUUUCCCUGUGCAAACUUGCUCCCGUGAAAAGCUAGACUUGAAACAGGUUGUAUCAAUAGAGCCAGCAUGAAAUAUACUGAGGGAUGAUACUGCUGCCAGCAUAUAGGUUUCUUAAAAAUGACUGAUAGCAUGGCAUAAGACAGUUAAAGAUAAUUCAGAUAAAUAUCAUACUAUAAUUCUAAAAGACUUAAUUAUAAUGAAUUGCUAUAAAGAACACUGGAGAAGUUCUUCACAGAAAAGAACAGCAUAGAAAUAAUCCCUUGGCAAAGUCAACAGUGAAGGGUGAAUUCAGAGCUCUGAAUAGUCAAAGUGAUGAUGAGAUCACAUACAAAAAGCUGAGAAAAAAAUGACGGAAAAGCAGUCAGGAGAAAGGUAGUAACCACCACUCUUAAUUCGGACUACCACAAAAAGUAUUAGAAGAUUAGAAAAGUGUGUACCCAGAUGCAUGGUUGAGGGAAAGACUAUACUUACUUGCAAAGAAAAUGGGAAAGGAAAAAUUUGGUGUCAUAAGCUUAAAGUCACACAGAUUGUUUGGCUACAAUAUGGAAAUCUCUUGCGGGAAGCUUUAUGGAAAAUGUGUUUGAAAGUGUUGAAGCUAAUGGUAUGUUUCCCCAAGUACAGAAAAGAUGGUGAAAAGGCAAAAACCUUGCUGACAGAAUGCAAAGACUUUCUUACUGAUACCAAGAGAAAUUCUAGGUGGAUGAUGUGAAAUCAUAUCUCACCACUGGAUGAGAUCAUCCAGUGAUCUGAGUGGUAAGAUGGUAGAAAGCACUGUCCGUGUAGGGGGAACAUAGAGAAAGUGUGUUGGAACAGUAUGUGCUAUACUGGAAUAUAAUAAAGCAAGAAUACAUAAGCCAAAAGA